CCUGGAGUUAUUGGUGUUGUUGUUGUUGCACUCAUCUUCUUCUUCACCGUCAUCAUCAUCGUCGUCAUCAUAAUCAAGCGAUCUCAAAUCCAGCGUGUUCUACGUCACUACAGAGGUGAACAAAUUUUUCCAUGUUGGAGCAAAAACUCUCAACAUGAACCAGAGAGAAAUGAUGGAGAUCAUAGAGAAAAUGUCAAUCUAGACGAUGAAGCUGAAGGAAAACCUUUACAGGAUCAAGGAAAACAAAACCAAAGUGAAUCUUUCACUUGAUCUAAAGUCUCUUCAACAAUUUGAAAAGGAGACCAGAACCAGAGAGACGAGGAAGGACCAUCAUCAUCAUCAUCAUCAUCAUCAUCACUGUGGGACUGAUAGUUAUUUAGUUUAGGAAGAAAAUGAGAAGAAGAAACCAAACAUUUUGACCAAGAACAUUUUUGUCUGAACUUUUUCUGUUUGACAUAUUUUAAUAAUGACUUUGAGUCGUUUAUUGCUUUGCUUCAGAUUCAUGUUCUCAAUACCUUUCUACAGACACAUCAUAAUGGGGUUUUAUGUCUUAUAAUAAGACUUACUUGAAGUUUUUAUAUGCAGCUGUUUCUUCCAGUGUUGGAAACUACUUUGCUAUCAAUCUUAAAGCAUUAAGUUGACGAUCUAGGCAAUCUUUAGGGGUUUGAAAUACUGAUACAUUUCAGUAUUUGAAAUGUAUCAAAUACUGAAAUAUUUGAUACAGAAACAAUGAUCUGUUAUUCUGUUACUCAGAUGGAUUUAUUCUGUUUCACUUCAUGUGUUUAGAGAAACCAGUGGUGACAACAGUGUUAGGAGUUUGUCCUGAAAUUAACAUGUUGUUGGUUCAAAUCUGCCUCUUUCUUAGUGUCCUUGAGCAAGGCACUUCACCUGCCUUACCUGCCAGUGGCAUCGACCCACAGCAGCUGCUGCCAAAUUGCUGCAGGGCAGCAGAGGCUGUUAUCCAGUAUUGGUCACCAUCAGUAUGAAUGGAUGAGUAUGAAUGGAUGAAUGACUGAAUGCAGAGUGAAGCAUUUUGGAUUCAACUGGACUUGAAACAGAGCCUUAAAGUACAAGCCAUAUUUAAUGUUUUAUGGAAAUAGUAAAUUAGAGCUCUAAUUUAUUAUUUAAACAUUCUCGUUAUCAGUGUUGUAUAGAAACAAAGUAACUUUCAUAUGAAAAUUUUUGAUAACUUUCACUUUACUUCACUACAUUUCAGAACUUAAUUGCUCCGCUUCAUUUUCAAUGUGUGGUUUAGUUACUCGUUACAAAAAAGUGAGAGAGAGAAACAAAUGUUUAGACCCAACCUACUGAUCGACUGCAACAAAGUCGGUAGCCGAUUUGCCUGAGUUUGUUCAUCUCCACCAAUAGAUGCACAUGUUUCACUUCUCCCAUUAAUCACCAAGUUUACUAAAGCUCUCCCUCUUCAGAUGCCAAAUAAGCUGCAUUUCCCUCCCAAUUCUUUUUUCUUUUGUAUAAUGACCAGUUGAUGCACCUAUAGUGUGUGAAGUAGAGAAAUCGUAACGGCUUUUUUUUUCUUCAUGUUGGCCGCAUUUUCUGUGCUAUUUAUUUUUCUCAUUUUCAGCACUGAUCUUACUGAAAGAAAAACUUAAGGCUUACAAACCUUGUAUUUUCUGUCCUUCUUGUACUAAGAAGCAGGUUCAUAGUGAUGAGUCUGACGACACUGAAACCCGCGCGCAUGCGCCGAGCAAA
Poeciliopsis prolifica (blackstripe livebearer) is the source of this 1710-nucleotide long non-coding RNA. RefSeq lists it as uncharacterized. The transcript is spliced from 4 exons. Lineage: Eukaryota; Metazoa; Chordata; Actinopteri; Cyprinodontiformes; Poeciliidae. The record is from RefSeq and is a predicted model, not a curated record.